This is a non-coding RNA of Podarcis lilfordi (Lilford's wall lizard), 237 nucleotides long. The record is from the annotation of a GenBank genome assembly. Lineage: Eukaryota; Metazoa; Chordata; Lepidosauria; Squamata; Lacertidae.
AUUUUAAUAUUGUGUUGGAAGCCGCCCAGAGUGGCUGGGGAAGCCCAGCCAGAUGGGCAGGGUAUAAAUAAAUUAUUAUUAUUAUUAUUAUUAUUAUUAUUAUUAUUAUUAUUCUAUACCAUACCUAUUAUUAUUAUUAUUAUUAUUAUUAUUAUUAUUAUUAUUAUUAAUUUAUACCAUACCCAUCUGGCUGGGUUUCCCCUGCCACUCUGGGUGAAUCCCAACAGAAUAUUAAAA